Carica papaya (papaya) is the source of this 430-nucleotide non-coding RNA. The record is from RefSeq and is a predicted model, not a curated record. Lineage: Eukaryota; Viridiplantae; Streptophyta; Magnoliopsida; Brassicales; Caricaceae.
CUGCCUUAGGGGAGAUUGUCUUAUCUGGCUACGCCACCGCAAGGGAGGAGGGAGGGUGAUGACGAUGGUCUUCAAUCUUCCUCUGUCCGGUGGCACCGCUACUUCAUCUUUGAUCAAUUUCGGUUUAGAAGCCAGCUCAGAGUCAGGCUCAAUCACAGAUUGGAUUUGAACUUUAUGGUAUACUGGUUGGAAAUGUUAGUCCCUUGACAGGAGAGACUAUGAGGCCAGCUUAUGUAGCAGGUGAAGAGGCUUUUUCAAGGGAAGUCAUUGCACCUGUCUAUGAAGUGAUUGCAAGGGAGGCUACAAAGAGCAAAAGAGGAAAAUUAAAGGAUUCACAGCAGAGGAAUUAUGAUGUCCUAAAUCAAUACUUCUGGUCUGCUGAUUGUUUUCGGUUAGGUUGGCCAAUGCGUCUGGAUGUCUUCCAUGUGUC